UUUGCGUUAGUUCCACUUCCACAUUGCUCCACCUCCCUUGGCUCCUCACCUCCAAGAACGCGCGCAGCACCAAAUGCAGCCGCCUAUUCCCCUUCCACUUUCACUUCAAUUCCCAACCAAUCUGGCCUUCGCUACUCUAUCUUCUUGGUUCGCAUCUCCAAAUCUGACACCAGUGGGAGAUGCGGCCUCCCACGCUCGCAAGCGACGCCAAAUCGGCGGCUGCCCGUCCAUGAGUACUCGCCUCCCUCCGGUGGGAAUCAGUGCCCAGCUGGCCUGAUGUUGUUGCUGAUGUGCUCUUCCUGUAGUUCAACGCGGCGUGCCUCGUCGGCAGGCCGACAGCGCCGGUUGCCGAACUCUAGCCCUUGGGCGGAGAGGUAGGGGUCUCCGACGUUCGUCUCCCAGGAACGCUGUGGUGGAAGGAUGUUGUUCGGCACCACUCCCUCAGAGGCGCAGCGCUGGGGAUCAGGAGUAGUAGGCUUCUAUAUAUAUUUGAGAUGAGGCUAUGGAGCAGAUUGUCAAGUAUAUCAACCAGAGAUACAAGAAUACAUCUGUGUAUGUUUCUGACAAUGUUUACUUGCAAAACGGUGAAGCAGUAUGGAGGACGUGAUCGUUGACACCAGAAGAAAGCAGUACCUGCAGGGCAGCAGGUGUAUCUUACAUCUAUCUCUUCAGCAGUCACCAGUCAGGUACGUGUAAUGGAACUAUGUAUGUGCAUUCUAUUAAUUUUGCAUCUGACGGAGAAACACAUCGAUCAUAUUCUUAAUUCAUGCGUGUUAUGCCGUUCUGACAUACUUCACCCAUGACACUUUUUUUUACAUAUAAACUAAACCAGAAAAAGAUUCUGCAAAUAGUGUGUUUCUCUCAUGCUCAUUCUGUUAGCCUACAUACCUCUUUAGAGAGCACAAGCUCCCAUAUCUGAAUUUUAUUUUCGACAUUGAGUUAUCAUAAGCGUAUUCUGUUAGUCUACUUACUAAUUUAGAGAGCAUGGGAAUAUGAUCCUGAUGGCUUCUAUUUGUUACAGUUGAAAAAUAUGAUACGAUACGUAGAUAGCUUAUAUUCAGAUUUGUUCAGAUCUCACCUGUCACAAGUGUCGGACAAUUUUCUUCUGAUGGCAAGGAUGUAGGACUAUUUGGUGGUCCUUGCUGCAUAAUAUUGUUGCCGCUCCCAUUAAUAGACAAGUAUAGGACGAGACAAAAUUUUCAGCGGGUGGCUCAAACGGGGUGGUCCAUGCAUACAACAGUCUUACCCUGCCCUCCCGAAUUCUUCAUUUCCUUACCUUCUACAUUCAACCAACUGAACUUACCAUUUUUUAUGGUAUAAGCAUGGAUGAGUUGAUUGGCUCCGUUCACUUUAUUUCUCCUACUUAUAGGAGCGUCAGUGGUUUUAAUCGUGCUGCCAUUGCCUGGCACUUGGUGAGAGACCUAUGUGAUAUUAGAGCACUUUCAUGUAACCUCUUUUGAGGUACCUCUAUUCAGGUACAGUUUCUAAAAGAAUAGAUAAGUUGCAUCACUGAGAGGUAAAGGUUUUGCUUUUUUUGGCAACAAUCGACAUAUUUGGACAAAGUCCAUGUGUAAUAAUGUUACUUUACUGGGGUUUUGUCGUACAUUUAUUUGAUCCGUUUGAUUGGUGAUAUAUCAGUAUCUCAUUUGGUUGGUACUGCA
Long non-coding RNA from Triticum dicoccoides, 1661 nucleotides. RefSeq lists it as uncharacterized. The transcript has 3 exons. Lineage: Eukaryota; Viridiplantae; Streptophyta; Magnoliopsida; Poales; Poaceae. The record is from RefSeq and is a predicted model, not a curated record.